This 492-nucleotide ribosomal RNA is filed under the name uncultured bacterium. RNAcentral's name for it is "partial 16S ribosomal RNA". It matches the Rfam family "Bacterial small subunit ribosomal RNA", at positions 29 to 507 of the family's 1533-position model. The record is from RNAcentral.
AGUGAACGCUGGCGGCAGGCCUAACACAUGCAAGUCGAACGGCAGCACAGUAAGAGUUUGCUCUUACGGGUGGCGAGUGGCGGACGGGUGAGGAAUACAUCGGAAUCUACUCUUUCGUGGGGGAUAACGUAGGGAAACUUACGCUAAUACCGCAUACGACCUACGGGUGAAAGCAGUGGAUCUUCGCACCUUGCGCGAUUGAAUGAGCCGAUGUCGGAUUAGCUAGUUGGCGGGGUAAAGGCCCACCAAGGCGACGAUCCGUAGCUGGUCUGAGAGGAUGAUCAGCCACACUGGAACUGAGACACGGUCCAGACUCCUACGGGAGGCAGCAGUAGGGAAUAUUGGGCAAUGGGCGCAAGCCUGAUCCAGCCAUACCGCGUGGGUGAAGAAGGCCUUCGGGUUGUAAAGCCCUUUUGUUGGGAAAGAAAAGCAGCAGGUUAAUACCCCGCUGUUCUGACGGUACCCAAAGAAUAAGCACCGGCUAACUUCGUG